This 292-nucleotide ribosomal RNA is filed under the name uncultured bacterium. RNAcentral's name for it is "partial 16S ribosomal RNA". It matches the Rfam family "Bacterial small subunit ribosomal RNA", at positions 505 to 796 of the family's 1533-position model. The record is from RNAcentral.
GUGCCAGCAGCCGCGGUAAUACGGAGGGGGCUAGCGUUGUUCGGAAUUACUGGGCGUAAAGCGCACGUAGGCGGUGACGCAUGUCAGAUGUGAAAGCCCCGGGCUUAACCUGGGAAUUGCAUUUGAAACUGCGUCGCUAGAGGCCGGAAGAGGGUAGUGGAAUUCCCAGUGUAGAGGUGAAAUUCGUAGAUAUUGGGAAGAACACCGGUGGCGAAGGCGGCUACCUGGUCCGGUUCUGACGCUGAGGUGCGAAAGCGUGGGGAGCAAACAGGAUUAGAUACCCGUGUAGUCC